AGACCAAAUUACUCCCUUUACUAAUUAGAAUGAGCUUAGAAUCAAGAAAAACUCAAUAAAUGAGUCUGUAGAGAGUCAAAAGCUAUUUUUAGCGAUAUUAUGCUUGUUUUGCAUUGUUUUGUAGCAUUUUUGAGAAAGUGAAGAAUGAAGUUGAAGAUAAAUGUCGUAGACUCAAGAAAAGAGAAGAAAAUUGAUGAUUUGAAGAGUCGAUGCACCGCCCGACGGCAACUUACACCGCCGGGCGGUCCAGGGCGAGGAGUAGGCACCUGGCGUUGGCGUUGGGUGGUUGUGAGGGAAACCGCCGGGAGGUAGACCCUACCGCUAGGCGGUAGUGCGAUUUGUGGGAAACCGCCGGGCGCCACACUUGUUCCGUCGGGCGGUUGUCUGCGGAUCUUGGGCCUAUUUUCUGUUGCGCUCCUUACCUAUAAAUAGCCCUAUUGCGAAGUUAGAUGCAUUCUUUUGACAGAAGGAGGUGGCCAGACCUAAUUUCACUCUCUGGAGAGGAUCUCUUGGAUGCUUAGGCUCCAUUUCUUCUUAUCUAGGGUUUGCUUUUCCAUUCUUCAUCCAUUUUUCAUCUAGAUUCACCAUGACAAUGGUGAACUAAACCCUAUUAUUGUUGGGGGAAACAAUGUAAUCUUUUGAUACUCUCUUUUAUUGAAACUCUUGUUUAUUUAUAUGGUUUCCAUAUGCUUUGAUUAUUAAUUGUUGGGUUCUCAUUUGUGCUUAAUGCGUUUAUCGUUUAACUUAUUCGAUAACUGUUGUUUGUCUUUAUUGAUACGGGGACAUACAGUAAUGUCAUGAACUGGUGAGUAAUUCCUUGAUUAAGCAAUACCACCNAGGGAUAGGGGUAGGACGAUCAAUUGUUUUUCACUUCUGCUCUAUAAUGUUUUACUAAUUGUUAGGGGAGGCUAGGUGAUACGCGGGGCCCAAACCCAAUGUCUUUAGUGUAGUCUUUCUUUUAUGUACUAUGUAAAUGUGUUAGGUAUGUGGGACUUCUAGUACUAUAAAUAGCCAUGCCUACACUUCUUGUACUUACUUUUGAGAUUAAUGAGAAUUAGAUUUCUGAAACCCAGAAUUAAUUCUGUCUUGAAAGUCAUUGGCUAGAGAGUCCAAAGACCUCUAGCCUCCUUCCAAAGCACACAACUUCAUUUUCACCGUGCUACACCAUAUAUUCUCUCUACUCCACACACAUCCAAUCUUCCAUAGCCACAUCACGCACAUGCGUCAGUGCUUGAUUCGCGUCACCACCACAUCCUCUUCAACUCUCGCAGACACAUCACUUCGCCAUUUCAUUUCUCACAUUACUCCAUCUGCUAGGGUUUUCAUCCCAAGCUUAUCCUCCUCACAGAUCCACAUCGCGUCCAACACGGUAAGCCUCGUUUCUCCUCCCUUUCAUCAUUUCCUUACCUAUUUCUCUCAUCUUUUCUGAUUAAAAGCCUCCUAUCACCAUUUUUACCGAUUGAUUCCUUGGUCCCAAGCUUAUCCUCCUCACAGAUCCACAUCGCGUCCAACACGGUAAGCCUCGUUUCUCCUCCGUUUCAUCAUUUCCUUACCUAUUUCUCUCAUCUUUUCUGAUUAAAAGCCUCCUAUCACCAUUUUUACCGAUUGAUUCCUUGUCUAACACCAUUUUCACCGUUUAAACACCUCUUUCCACUGAUCCAAAUCAUUUCCACCGUUUAAUAUCCAUUUUACACCGAUUAAUCGGUCCAAUCGGUGUUUCUCCAUUCGAUUUAGGGUUUUCCCCGUCAUUUAGGGUUUCCGUGAUUUCUAUCUCACAUUCGGUCCUAUUAAGUUCUCGAUCGCUUCCCCCUUCGAAUAUAUUCCAUUCCGUUGCGUCAUUCAUCGUCGGAGAAGCUUCGAAGAGUCCGCAUCACCUCUCGGUUAACCUUCUUCGAAGCUCUCUUGCAUCAAGUGGUAAUCAGAGCAUAGGUUCUCUUCCUCGGGUUAGGCACGCUUCAAAGCUAAGUAUCUCGAUAUUUGUUUUUUUUGCUUUCUCU
This 1997-nucleotide long non-coding RNA is filed under the name Vigna radiata. RNAcentral's name for it is "long non-coding RNA (VRAD_LNC012352)". Lineage: Eukaryota; Viridiplantae; Streptophyta; Magnoliopsida; Fabales; Fabaceae. The record is from RNAcentral.